Molecule: ribosomal RNA, 454 nt
Filed under: uncultured bacterium
Lineage: Bacteria
Description: partial 16S ribosomal RNA
Rfam family: Bacterial small subunit ribosomal RNA
Source: RNAcentral
GAUGAACGCUGACAGAAUGCUUAACACAUGCAAGUCAACUUGAACUUCGGUUUGGGUGGCGGACGGGUGAGUAACGCGUAAAGAACUUGCCUCACAGCUAGGGACAACAUUUGGAAACGAAUGCUAAUACCUGAUAUUAUGAUUAUAUGGCAUCGUAUAAUUAUGAAAGCUAUAUGCGCUGUGAGAGAGCUUUGCGUCCCAUUAGCUAGUUGGAGAGGUAACAGCUCACCAAGGCGAUGAUGGGUAGCCGGCCUGAGAGGGUGAUCGGCCACAAGGGGACUGAGACACGGCCCGUACUCCUACGGGAGGCAGCAGUGGGGAAUAUUGGACAAUGGACCGAGAGUCUGAUCCAGCAAUUCUGUGUGCACGAUGAAGUUUUUCGGAAUGUAAAGUGCUUUCAGUUGGGAAGAAAAAAAUGACGGUACCAACAGAAGAAGUGACGGCUAAAUACGUG